GGUGUCGCUGAUGGAUGGACCCGCGGUGCAUUAGCUAGUUGGUGAGGUAACGGCUCACCAAGGCCACGAUGCAUAGCCGACCUGAGAGGGGUGAUCGGCCACCAUUGGGACUGAGACACGGGCCCAAACUCCUACGGGUAGGGCAGCAGUAGGGAAUCUUCGGCAAUGGACGAAAGUCUGACCGAGCAACGCCUGGCGUGAGUGAAGAAGGUUUUCGGAUCGUAAAACUCUGUUGUUAGAGAAGAACAAGGAUGAGAGUAACUGUUCAUCCCUUGACGGUAUCUAACCAGAAAGCCACGGCUAACUACGUGCCAGCAGCCGCGGUAAUACGUAGGUGGCAAGCGUUGUCCGGAUUUAUUGGGCGUAAAGCGAGCGCAGGCGGUUUCUUAAGUCUGAUGUGAAAGCCCCCGGCUCAACCGGGGAGGGUCAUUGGAAACUGGGAGACUUGAGUGCAGAAGAGGAGAGUGGAAUUCCAUGUGUAGCGGUGAAAUGCGUAGAUAUAUGGAGGAACACCAGUGGCGAAGGCGGCUCUCUGGUCUGUUAACUGACGCUGAGGCUCGAAAGCGUGGGGAGCAAACAGGAUUAGAUACCCUGGUAGUCCACGCCGUAAACGAUGAGUGCUAAGUGUUGGAGGGUUUCCGCCCUUCAGUGCUGCAGCUAACGCAUUAAGCACUCCGCCUGGGGAGUACGACCGCAAGGUUGAAACUCAAAGGAAUUGACGGGGGCCCGCACAAGCGGUGGAGCAUGUGGUUUAAUUCGAAGCAACGCGAAGAACCUUACCAGGUCUUGACAUCCUUUGACCACUCUAGGAGAUAGAGCGUUCCCCUUCGGGGGCAAAGUGACAGGUGGUGCAUGGUUGUCGUCAGCUCGUGUCGUGAGAUGUUGGGUUAAGUCCCGCAACGAGCGCAACCCUUAUUGUUAGUUGCCAUCAUUCAGUUGGGCACUCUAGCAAGACUGCCGGUGACAAACCGGAGGAAGGUGGGGAUGACGUCAAAUCAUCAUGCCCCUUAUGACCUGGGCUACACACGUGCUACAAUGGGAAGUACAACGAGUUGCGAAGUCGCGAGGCUAAGCUAAUCUCUUAAAGCUUCUCUCAGUUCGGAUUGCAGGCUGCAACUCGCCUGCAUGAAGCCGGAAUCGCUAGUAAUCGCGGAUCAGCACGUCGCGGUGCAAUACGUUCCCGGGCCUUGUACACACCGCCCGUCACACCACGAGAGUUUGUAACACCCGAAGUCGGUGAGGUAA
RNAcentral lists this ribosomal RNA (1245 nucleotides) under Enterococcus lactis. Its description in RNAcentral is "bacterial SSU rRNA". It matches the Rfam family "Bacterial small subunit ribosomal RNA", at positions 211 to 1438 of the family's 1533-position model. Lineage: Bacteria; Bacillati; Bacillota; Bacilli; Lactobacillales; Enterococcaceae. The record is from RNAcentral.